GUGCAAAAUGGGUUAUACUUGUUCCCUAUAUUGAUCUCCAUCCAUGAACUUAAUCAACUGUUGUAUUUUAUUUACCGUUGAUUUUCUUGGUUGGUACAUUC
Molecule: small nucleolar RNA, 101 nt
Organism: Lotus japonicus
Lineage: Eukaryota; Viridiplantae; Streptophyta; Magnoliopsida; Fabales; Fabaceae
Product: small nucleolar RNA snoR99
Exons: 1
Source: RefSeq, a predicted model, not a curated record